AUAAAGAUUUCAUUGUCAACGUUUCUGGGAAAAAAGCUAAUGUUGGUGCUGAUGUUCGAACCGAGUUUAGAUCAUUGCAGGUAUUCUUUUCCAGUUGAUUUUGCCAGAAUUAAUAGUUGUAUUUUUCUCGUUUUGGUUUCAUUUUGGUUGUUUUGCGGUUUUGAAACGAGCGCGUAUUUUCAUCUUCAUGGUUCGCUCUGUACAGCUGAAGGCUUAGUGCAUGUGGUAUUUUUGUAAAUAUUUGUAUAUAGACUGUAUAAAUGUUUAAUGGGCCGGCCCAAAGUAUUUUUGUAAUUUUUUUUCCUUUUUUGUAUUUUUUUGUUUUUUUCCUUUUUUUUUUAU
This is a long non-coding RNA of Cannabis sativa, 342 nucleotides long. RefSeq lists it as uncharacterized. The record is from RefSeq and is a predicted model, not a curated record. Lineage: Eukaryota; Viridiplantae; Streptophyta; Magnoliopsida; Rosales; Cannabaceae. The transcript is spliced from 2 exons.